GAUGAAGAACGCAGCGAAAUGCGAUAAGUAAUGCGAAUUGCAGAAAUUCCGUGAGUCAUCGAAUCUUUGAACGCACAUUGCGCCCGCCAGUAUUCUGGCGGGCAUGCCUGUUCGAGCGUCAUUUCAACCAUCAAGCCCUGCUUGCGUUGGGGUCCUGCGGCUGCCCGCAGGCCCUGAAAACCAGUGGCGGGCUCGCUAGUCACACCGAGCGCAGUAAUACAUCUCGCUUUGGGCGUGCGGCGGGUUCUUGCCGUUAAACACCCCCUUUUUACCAAGGUUGACCUCGGAUCAGGUAGGAAUACCCGCUGAACUUAAGCAUAUCAAUAAGCGGAGGA
RNAcentral lists this unclassified non-coding RNA (335 nucleotides) under soil metagenome. Its description in RNAcentral is "partial contains 5.8S ribosomal RNA, internal transcribed spacer 2, and large subunit ribosomal RNA". The stretch from base 1 to 121 matches the Rfam family "5.8S ribosomal RNA", at positions 35 to 154 of the family's 154-position model. The record is from RNAcentral.